This 371-nucleotide ribosomal RNA is filed under the name uncultured organism. RNAcentral's name for it is "partial 16S ribosomal RNA". It matches the Rfam family "Bacterial small subunit ribosomal RNA", at positions 527 to 896 of the family's 1533-position model. The record is from RNAcentral.
GUAGGUGGCAAGCGUUGUCCGGAAUUAUUGGGCGUAAAGCGCGCGCAGGCGGUUUCUUAAGUCUGAUGUGAAAGCCCACGGCUCAACCGUGGAGGGUCAUUGGAAACUGGGGAACUUGAGUGCAGAAGAGGAAAGUGGAAUUCCACGUGUAGCGGUGAAAUGCGUAGAGAUGUGGAGGAACACCAGUGGCGAAGGCGACUUUCUGGUCUGUAACUGACGCUGAGGCGCGAAAGCGUGGGGAGCAAACAGGGAUUAGAUACCCUGGUAGUCCACGCCGUAAACGAUGAGUGCUAAGUGUUAGAGGGUUUCCGCCCUUUAGUGCUGCAGCUAACGCAUUAAGCACUCCGCCUGGGAGUACGGUCGCAAGACUG